This 410-nucleotide ribosomal RNA is filed under the name uncultured microorganism. RNAcentral's name for it is "bacterial SSU rRNA". It matches the Rfam family "Bacterial small subunit ribosomal RNA", at positions 509 to 917 of the family's 1533-position model. The record is from RNAcentral.
CAGCCGCCGCGGUAAUACGUAGGGUGCGAGCGUUAAUCGGAUUUACUGGGCGUAAAGCGUGCGCAGGCGGCCCGUUAAGACAGGUGUGAAAUCCCUGGGCUCAACCUAGGAAUUGCGCUUGUGACUGGCGGGCUCGAGUACGGUAGAGGGGGGUGGAAUUCCUGGUGUAGCAGUGAAAUGCGUAGAGAUCAGGAGGAACACCGAUGGCCAAGGCAGCCCCCUGGGCCUGUACUGACGCUCAUGCACGAAAGCGUGGGGAGCAAACAGGAUUAGAUACCCUGGUAGUCCACGCCCUACACGAUGGGUACUAGCCGUUUGGUGCGCGAUAGCGCUGAGUGGAGAAGCUAACGCGUGAAGUACCCCGCCUGGGGAGUCCGGCCGCAAGGUUGAAACUUAAAGGAAUUGGCGGG